UUGACAUGAUAUGUAUUAUCAUUUUUUUUUGACAGGCAGUUUUAUCCAAAGGAUUUUUUAUCGAGAAAGCAAGGUCAGCCAGCCCCUGCAGCGAUUGGGGUUAAGGGCCUUGCUCGAGGGCCCAAAGGUGGGACCACGCUGCUGACCACGGGGAUAUGAGCCGGUGACCUUCCCAUCUCAGGUGUGUGAAAUCAGGACAAGGGAUAUGUGGUACGGGACCCUCGGGAGGAGGAGAAGAAGGGAACGAUGCAUCGAACAUGUGCAUCUCUUCCUCAAGAAAAUGGAAGAGGAAAAGACUAUAGAAGAAUACAUCUGGUUGUCCGCUUCUAGCUUUAAAAAAAAAAGAAAAGAAAAAAAUACAUCUUCAGCUUGGGGAAGAAAGGAGGAAAGUCUUGCCUCUGGCGGUAAUUGAGUAAUUCACCCAACUAAUGGAAAUCCUAGUUUCUUUAAAGGAACUGUCAGAAGAUCCUGGCAUUUUAUCUGGAAAAAUAACAGUAAAGGAAUUGCCAAGAG
Molecule: long non-coding RNA, 513 nt
Organism: Brienomyrus brachyistius
Lineage: Eukaryota; Metazoa; Chordata; Actinopteri; Osteoglossiformes; Mormyridae
Exons: 3
Source: RefSeq, a predicted model, not a curated record